Molecule: long non-coding RNA, 519 nt
Organism: Ictalurus punctatus (channel catfish)
Lineage: Eukaryota; Metazoa; Chordata; Actinopteri; Siluriformes; Ictaluridae
Source: Ensembl
CCUUUUUGUCCGAGACCUCAUCAAACUCACAUGGUUCGGAAGAGAGAGGACGCAGAGGUGGGACAGAACGAUCGCAGGGAGGAUAAAGUGCACAAAGGAGAGCUUCAGACACUCAGGAGAAUGACUUCUUUUGGGUCAGCAGAGCUUUCGGCUGCCUUCUGUUUAUUCUUUCAGCUCCUGAGCGAAGGACAGAGGAACACGGCGUUCCAAUGAAUAAAAAAAAUAAACAAACAAGAACAACAGAGGAACAAGAUUCCAGGACCUGGGAAACCGGAACGGGAUUCUAGAAACUGGAAAACUAGGACAAGUUUGUAGAAGCGGGUUGGAAAAAAUCAUCGGAAAACGCUUUGUAGACUCGGAUAGAGAGCGGAACAAGCUCCUAGAAGCCGGAGAACUGGAACGAGGUUCUAGAAGUGGAAAGAGAGCGGAACGAGCUUCCAGAAGCCGGAGAACUGGAAGGAGGUUCUAGAAGCCGGAGAACUGGAACGAGGUUCUAGAAGCAGGAGAACUGGAACGGAG